This 305-nucleotide ribosomal RNA is filed under the name uncultured bacterium. RNAcentral's name for it is "bacterial SSU rRNA". It matches the Rfam family "Bacterial small subunit ribosomal RNA", at positions 333 to 630 of the family's 1533-position model. The record is from RNAcentral.
UUUGGCCUACGGGGCGCAGCAGUGGGGAAUAUUGCGCAAUGGACGAAAGUCUGACGCAGCGACGCCGCGUGAGGGAUGAAGGUUUUCGGAUCGUAAACCUCUGUCAGGAGGGAAGAAAGCGCAUGGCGCCAAUCAGCCAUGCGUUGACGGUACCUCCAAAGGAAGCGCCGGCUAACUCCGUGCCAGCAGCCGCGGUAAUACGGAGGGCGCGAGCGUUAAUCGGAAUUACUGGUCGUAACGCGCGCGUAGGCUGUUGUGUAAGUUGUGGGUGAAAUCCCACGGCUCAACCGUGGAACAGCCCUUGG